Non-coding RNA from Podarcis lilfordi (Lilford's wall lizard), 79 nucleotides. The record is from the annotation of a GenBank genome assembly. NCBI's taxonomy places the organism in Eukaryota, Metazoa, Chordata, Lepidosauria, Squamata, Lacertidae.
GGCUCUUCAAAUAGCCCAGUUGGUUAGAGCGUGGUGCUGAUAACGCCAAGGUUGCAGGUUCGAUUCCCCAUAAGGGACA